GUGCCAGCAGCUGCGGUAAUACGUAGGUGGCAAGCGUUAUCCGGAAUUAUUGGGCGUAAAGCGCGCGUAGGCGGUUCGUUAAGUCUGAUGUGAAAGCCCCCGGCUCAACCGGGGAGGGUCAUUGGAAACUGGCGGACUUGAGUGCAGAAGAGGAGAGUGGAAUUCCAUGUGUAGCGGUGAAAUGCGCAGAGAUAUGGAGGAACACCAGUGGCGAAGGCGGCUCUCUGGUCUGCAACUGACGCUGAGUGCGAAAGCGUGGGGAUCAAACAGGAUUAGAUACCCUGGUAGUCCACGCCG
RNAcentral lists this ribosomal RNA (297 nucleotides) under uncultured Salinicoccus sp. RNAcentral's name for it is "partial 16S ribosomal RNA". It matches the Rfam family "Bacterial small subunit ribosomal RNA", at positions 505 to 802 of the family's 1533-position model. The record is from RNAcentral. Lineage: Bacteria; Bacillati; Bacillota; Bacilli; Caryophanales; Staphylococcaceae.